This 536-nucleotide ribosomal RNA is filed under the name uncultured bacterium. RNAcentral describes it as "partial 16S ribosomal RNA". It matches the Rfam family "Bacterial small subunit ribosomal RNA", at positions 355 to 902 of the family's 1533-position model. The record is from RNAcentral.
UGGGGAAUAUUGCACAAUGGGCGAAAGCCUGAUGCAGCAACGCCGCGUGAGUGAUGAAGGCCUUCGGGUUGUAAAGCUCUGUCUUUUGGGACGAUAAUGACGGUACCAAAGGAGGAAGCCACGGCUAACUACGUGCCAGCAGCCGCGGUAAUACGUAGGUGGCAAGCGUUGUCCGGAUUUACUGGGCGUAAAGGAUGCGUAGGCGGAUUUUUAAGUGAGAUGUGAAAUACCCGGGCUUAACUUGGGUGCUGCAUUUCAAACUGGGAAUCUAGAGUGCGGGAGAGGAGAAUGGAAUUCCUAGUGUAGCGGUGAAAUGCGUAGAGAUUAGGAAGAACACCAGUGGCGAAAGGCGAUUCUCUGGACCGUAACUGACGCUGAGGCAUGAAAAGCGUGGGUAGCAAAACAGGAUUAGAUACCCUGGUAGUCCACGCCGUAAAACGAUGAGUACUAGGUGUAGGAGGUAUCGACCCCUUCUGUGCCGCAGUUAACACAAUAAGUACUCCGCCUGGGAAGUACGAUCGCAAGAUUAAAAACUU